Long non-coding RNA from Sorghum bicolor (sorghum), 315 nucleotides. RefSeq lists it as uncharacterized. The record is from RefSeq and is a predicted model, not a curated record. NCBI's taxonomy places the organism in Eukaryota, Viridiplantae, Streptophyta, Magnoliopsida, Poales, Poaceae. The transcript is spliced from 3 exons.
AAAACCUAUAAGCGAGGUCCCAGCCAGCUCCCGAAGCGACCCAUUCCUGUUGACCGCCGCCCACUGAUUGCACCCGAGGGGGAUAAGAACUGGAUACUUGUGGAGGAUGGGGGCGAGGCUCGCAAUGUCAAUGGGAUCCUAGGACUUUUGUGCAGGGAACACUUCCCUGGCCUAGUGUACAAGUCAGAGGAGGAUGUGGACGGAGAGAUACCCUCGUUCGACCAGUACGCUCUCUUCCCCGCCAGUGCUCCAUAUAGAAACUUGGCGGAUCAGGUGAUUUCAGAGUUGUGGGAAUUCUUCAGAUGCCAGCCGGGA